Molecule: ribosomal RNA, 910 nt
Filed under: Paraconiothyrium sp. CBS 194.82
Lineage: Eukaryota; Fungi; Ascomycota; Dothideomycetes; Pleosporales; Didymosphaeriaceae
Description: eukaryotic LSU rRNA
Rfam family: Eukaryotic large subunit ribosomal RNA
Source: RNAcentral
GCAUAUCAAUAAGCGGAGGAAAAGAAACCAACAGGGAUUGCCCUAGUAACGGCGAGUGAAGCGGCAACAGCUCAAAUUUGAAAUCUGGCUCUCUUUGGGGGUCCGAGUUGUAAUUUGCAGAGGAUGCUUUGGCAUUGGCGGCGGUCUAAGUUCCUUGGAACAGGACAUCGCAGAGGGUGAGAAUCCCGUACGUGGGCGCCUGCCUUUGCCGUGUAAAGCUCCUUCGACGAGUCGAGUUGUUUGGGAAUGCAGCUCUAAAUGGGAGGUAAAUUUCUUCUAAAGCUAAAUACCGGCCAGAGACCGAUAGCGCACAAGUAGAGUGAUCGAAAGAUGAAAAGUACUUUGGAAAGAGAGUCAAAAAGCACGUGAAAUUGUUGAAAGGGAAGCGCUUGCAGCCAGACUUGCCCGCAGUUGCUCACCUAGGCUUUGGCCUGGGGCACUCUUCUGCGGGCAGGCCAGCAUCAGUUUGGGCGGUUGGAUAAAGGCCUCUGUCACGUAUCUCCCUUCGGGGUGACCUUAUAGGGGAGGCGCAAUGCAACCAGCCCGGACUGAGGUCCGCGCAUCUGCUAGGAUGCUGGCGUAAUGGCUGUAAGCGGCCCGUCUUGAAACACGGACCAAGGAGUCUAACAUCUAUGCGAGUGUUUGGGUGUCAAGCCCGGGCGCGCAAUGAAAGUGAACGGAGGUGGGAACCCUUUGGGUGCACCAUCGACCGAUCCUGAUGUCUUCGGAUGGAUUUGAGUAAGAGCAUAGCUGUUGGGACCCGAAAGAUGGUGAACUAUGCUUGAAUAGGGUGAAGCCAGAGGAAACUCUGGUGGAGGCUCGCAGCGGUUCUGACGUGCAAAUCGAUCGUCAAAUUUGGGCAUAGGGGCGAAAGACUAAUCGAACCAUCUAGUAGCUGGUUCCUGCCGAA